This 489-nucleotide ribosomal RNA is filed under the name uncultured bacterium. Its description in RNAcentral is "bacterial SSU rRNA". It matches the Rfam family "Bacterial small subunit ribosomal RNA", at positions 28 to 507 of the family's 1533-position model. The record is from RNAcentral.
GACGAACGCUGGCGGCGUGGAUUAGGCAUGCAAGUCGAACGGUAUCAUCCUUUCGGGGGUGAGAGAGUGGCGAACUGGUGAGUAACACGUAGGUUAUCUACCCUCAAGACGGGGACAACCCAGGGAAACUUGGGCUAAUACCGGAUGUGAGCAACUUUUAGUUGUUUGAAAGGUGGCGUAAGCUGUCGCUUGGGGAUGAGCCUGCGUCCUAUUAGUUAGUUGGUGAGGUAACGGCUCACCUAGGCAAUGAUAGGUAGGCGGCCUUAACGGGUGGUCGCCCACACUGGGAUUGAGAGACGGCCCAGACUCCUACGGGAGGCAGCAGUCGAGAAUAGUCUACAAUGGGACGAAAGUCUGAUAGUGCGACGCCGCGUGAACGAAGAAUCCUUUCGGGGUGUAAAGUUCUUUUCUUAUGUGAGCAGUUUCCUUUUAUAUGAAGAGUAUAGAAGGGGGAUUUAAGCAUAGGAAUAAGCAACGGCUAACUCCGUG